AUACGAACCGGACAAACGUUAUUCGGAAUUAUUGGGCUUAAAGGGUGCGUAGGCGGCGAUGUAGGUGGGGUGUGAAAUCCCUCGGCUCAACCGAGGAACUGCGCCCCAAACCCCAUCGCUAGAGGGAGACAGAGGUAAGCGGAACUGAUGGUGGAGCGGUGAAAUGCGUUGAUAUCAUCAGGAACACCAGUGGCGAAAGCGGCUUACUGGGUCUCUUCUGACGCUGAGGCACGAAAGCUAGGGUAGCGAACGGGAUUAGAUACCCCGGUAGUCC
RNAcentral lists this ribosomal RNA (274 nucleotides) under uncultured bacterium. RNAcentral's name for it is "partial 16S ribosomal RNA". It matches the Rfam family "Bacterial small subunit ribosomal RNA", at positions 523 to 796 of the family's 1533-position model. The record is from RNAcentral.